CAGUAGCCACGGUAAUACGAAGGGUGCAAGCGUUAAUCGGAAUUACUGGGCGUAAAGCGCGCGUAGGCGGCUUUUUAAGUCAGAGGUGAAAGCCCGGGGCUCAACCCCGGAAUUGCCUUUGAAACUGGAAAGCUAGAAUCUUGGAGAGGUCAGUGGAAUUCCGAGUGUAGAGGUGAAAUUCGUAGAUAUUCGGAAGAACACCAGUGGCGAAGGCGACUGACUGGACAAGUAUUGACGCUGAGGUGCGGAAGCGUGGGGAGCAAACAGGAUUAGAUACCCCGGUAGUCCCUGUCUCUUAUAC
This 301-nucleotide ribosomal RNA is filed under the name uncultured bacterium. Its description in RNAcentral is "partial 16S ribosomal RNA". It matches the Rfam family "Bacterial small subunit ribosomal RNA", at positions 509 to 807 of the family's 1533-position model. The record is from RNAcentral.